UUUUUUUUUUUUGAUAAGUUUUUUUUUUUUAACUUCUUUGUAGAUCUUGGAUACUAGCCCUUUAUCUGAUUUAUCAUUUGCAAAUAAAUAUCUUCUCCCAUUCUUUAGGGUGUCUUUUAGUUUUGUUGAUGGUUUCUUUUGCUGUGCAGAAGCUUUUUAAGUCCCAACAGUUCAUUUUUGCUUUUGUUUCCCUUGCCUUCAUAGAUGCAUCUUGCAAGAAGUUGCUGUGACCAAGUUAAAAAAGGGUGUUGCUGGGCAGCCCAGGUGGCUCAGUGGUUUGAUGCCAUCUACGGCCCAGGGCAUGAUCCUGGAGACCCGGGAACCAGUCCCACGUCGGGCUCCCUGCAUGGAGCUGCCUUCUCUCUCUGCCUGUGUCUCUGUUUCUCAUGAAUAAAUAAAAUCUAAAAUUAAAAAAAAAAGGGUAUUGCCUGUUCUCCUCUAGGAUUUUGAUGGAGUUUUGUCUCACAUUUAGAUCUUUCAUCCAUUUUGAGUUUAUCUUUGUGUAUGGUGUAAGAGAAUGGUCCAGUUUCAUUCUUCUGUAUGUGGCUGUCCAAUUUUCCCAGCACCAUUUAUUGAAGACUGUCCUUUUUCCAGUGGAUAGUCUUUCCUGCUUUGUCAAAUAUUAGUUGACCAUAGAGUGGAGGGUCCAUUUCUGAGUUCUCUAUUCUGUUCCAUUGAUCUAGGUGUCUGUUUUUGUGCCAGUACCAUACUGUCUUGAUGAUCACAGCUUUAUAAUACAGCUUGAAAUCUGGCAUUGUGAUGCCCCUGGCUCUGGUUUUCUUUUUCAAUAUUCCCCUGGCUAUUUGGGGCCUUUUCUGGUUCCAUACAUAUCUUAUGAUUUGUUCCAUCUCUGUGAAAAAAGUCCAUGGUAUUUUGAUAGGGAUUGCAUUGAUGUGUAAAUUGCCCUGGAUAGCAUAGACAUUUUCACAAUAUUAAUUAUUCCAAUCCAUAAGCGUGGAAUACUUUUCCAUCUCUUUGUGUCUCCCUAAAUUUCUUUCAGAAGAGUUUUGUAGUUUUUAGGGUAUAUAGAUCCUUUACCUCUUUGGUUAGGUUUAUUCCUAGGUAUCUUAUGCUUUUGGCUGCAAUUGUAAAUGGGAU
RNAcentral lists this long non-coding RNA (1098 nucleotides) under Canis lupus familiaris (dog). RNAcentral describes it as "lncRNA (ENSCAFG00000056529.1)". The record is from RNAcentral. Lineage: Eukaryota; Metazoa; Chordata; Mammalia; Carnivora; Canidae.